Molecule: ribosomal RNA, 253 nt
Filed under: uncultured bacterium
Lineage: Bacteria
Description: partial 16S ribosomal RNA
Rfam family: Bacterial small subunit ribosomal RNA
Source: RNAcentral
UACAGAGGUCCCAAGCGUUGUUCGGAUUCACUGGGCGUAAAGGGUGCGUAGGUGGUGAGGUAAGUUUGAGGUGAAAUCUCCGGGCCCAACCCGGAAACUGCCUCGAAUACUAUCUUGCUAGAGGGUUUGAGGGGGGACUGGAAUACUUGGUGUAGCAGUGAAAUGCGUAGAUAUCAAGUGGAACACCAGUGGCGAAGGCGAGUCCCUGGAAAACUCCUGACACUGAGGCACGAAAGCUAGGGGAUCAAACGGG